This 296-nucleotide signal recognition particle RNA is filed under the name Octodon degus (degu). RNAcentral describes it as "Metazoan signal recognition particle RNA (ENSODEG00000025840.1)". It matches the Rfam family "Metazoan signal recognition particle RNA". Rfam says of the family: The signal recognition particle (SRP) is a universally conserved ribonucleoprotein. Lineage: Eukaryota; Metazoa; Chordata; Mammalia; Rodentia; Octodontidae. The record is from RNAcentral.
GCCAGGCCUGGUGGCGUGCAGCUGUAGCCCCAGCUAAUCAGGAGGCUGAAGUAGGAGGAUCGCUUGAGUCCAGGAGUUCUGGACUGCAGCGCACUAUACCAGCAGGGUGUCCACACUAAGUUCAGCAUCAAUAUGGUGACCUUCCCGGAGCAGGGGGACCACCAGGUUACAUAAGGAGGGGUGAACUGGUCAGUCAAGGUUGGAAAUGGAGAUCAAAACUCCUGUGCAGUAGCAGAAUCGAGCCUGUGAAUAGCCACUGCACUGGAGCCUGGGCAACACAGUGAAAUCCCCUCUCU